This 292-nucleotide ribosomal RNA is filed under the name uncultured soil bacterium. Its description in RNAcentral is "partial 16S ribosomal RNA". It matches the Rfam family "Bacterial small subunit ribosomal RNA", at positions 26 to 312 of the family's 1533-position model. The record is from RNAcentral.
AGAGUGAACGCUGGCGGCAGGCCUAACACAUGCAAGUCGAACGGCAGCACAGCAGAGCUUGCUCUGUGGGUGGCGAGUGGCGGACGGGUGAGGAAUACGUCGGAAUCUGCCUUUUUGUGGGGGAUAACGUAGGGAAACUUACGCUAAUACCGCAUACGACCUACGGGUGAAAGCGGAGGACCUUCGGGCUUCGCGCAGAAAGAUGAGCCGACGUCGGAUUAGCUAGUUGGAGGGGUAAUGGCCCACCAAGGCGACGAUCCGUAGCUGGUCUGGAGAGGAUGAUCAGCCCACA